Molecule: ribosomal RNA, 301 nt
Filed under: uncultured bacterium
Lineage: Bacteria
Description: partial 16S ribosomal RNA
Rfam family: Bacterial small subunit ribosomal RNA
Source: RNAcentral
CAGUAGCCGCGGUAAUACGGAGGGUGCAAGCGUUAAUCGGAAUUACUGGGCGUAAAGCGCACGCAGGCGGUUUGUUAAGUCAGAUGUGAAAUCCCCGAGCUUAACUUGGGAACUGCAUUUGAAACUGGCAAGCUAGAGUCUUGUAGAGGGGGGUAGAAUUCCAGGUGUAGCGGUGAAAUGCGUAGAUAUUGGGAAGAACACCGGUGGCGAAGGCGGCGACCUGGUCCUUGACUGACGCUGAGGCGCGAAAGCGUGGGGAGCAAACGGGAUUAGAUACCCGCGUAGUCCCUGUCUCUUAUAC